RNAcentral lists this ribosomal RNA (585 nucleotides) under uncultured bacterium. RNAcentral describes it as "partial 16S ribosomal RNA". It matches the Rfam family "Bacterial small subunit ribosomal RNA", at positions 355 to 1375 of the family's 1533-position model. The record is from RNAcentral.
UGGGGAAUUUUGGACAAUGGGCGAAAGCCUGAUCCAGCAAUGCCGCGUGUGUGAAGAAGGCCUUCGGGUUGUAAAGCACUUUUGUCCGGAAAGAAAUCCUUGGCUCUAAUACAGUCGGGGGAUGACGGUACCGGAAGAAUAAGCACCGGCUAACUACGUGCCAGCAGCCGCGGUAAUACGUAGGGUGCAAGCGUUAAUCGGAAUUACUGGGCGUAAAGCGUGCGCAGGCGGUUUGCUAAGACCGAUGUGAAAUCCCCGGGCUCAACCUGGGAACUGCAUUGGUGACUGGCAGGCUAGAGUAUGGCAGAGGGGGGUAGAAUUCCACGUGUAGCAGUGAAAUGCGUAGAGAUGUGGAGGAAUACCGAUGGCGAAGGCAGCCCCCUGGGCAAUACUGACGCUCAUGCACGAAAAGCGUGGGGAGCAAACAGGAUUAGAUACCCUGGUAGUCCACGCCCUAAACGAUGUCAACUAGUUGUUGGGGAUUCAUUUCCUUAGUAACGUAGCUAACGCGUGAAGUUGACCGCCUGGGGAGUACGGUCGCAAGAUUAAAACUUAAAUGAAUUGACGGGGUCAUAGCUGUUUCCU